Ovis aries (sheep) is the source of this 73-nucleotide transfer RNA. It matches the Rfam family "tRNA". From Rfam's summary of the family: Transfer RNA (tRNA) molecules are approximately 80 nucleotides in length. Their secondary structure includes four short double-helical elements and three loops (D, anti-codon, and T loops). NCBI's taxonomy places the organism in Eukaryota, Metazoa, Chordata, Mammalia, Artiodactyla, Bovidae. The record is from Rfam.
UCUCUGGUGGUCCAGUGGUUAAGACUCUGCACUGCCAAUGCAGGUGGCUCCGGUUCGAUCCCUGGUUGGGGAA